Molecule: ribosomal RNA, 407 nt
Filed under: Gryllotaurus sp. RCP-2008
Lineage: Eukaryota; Metazoa; Arthropoda; Insecta; Orthoptera; Anostostomatidae
Description: partial 12S ribosomal RNA
Rfam family: Microsporidia small subunit ribosomal RNA
Source: RNAcentral
UAGUUAAGGUCUUGAAACCCAAAGAAUUUGGCGGUGUUUUAGUCUAUUCAGAGGAAUCUGUUCCGUGAUCGAUAAUUCACGAAUUACAUUACUUAAUUUGGUUAAAUCAGCUUGUAUACCGCCGUCAUCAGAUAAUUUUAUAAGAAUUAUAAAUUGUCUUGAAAUUUUAUUAAAUUAUAUGUCAGGUCAAGGUGCAGUUUAUAAUUAAGUGGAAAUGGAUUACAAUAAACUUAUUUAAUUGAAUGGAUUUUAGAAUGAAAAAUUUGAAUGAAGGUGGAUUUGAUAGUAAUGUUAUUAUUAAUAAUUUGAUUUUAGCUCUAAAACAUGUACACAUCGCCCGUCGCUCUCAUUUUAAGGUGAGAUAAGUCGUAACAUAGUAGAUGUACUGGAAAGUGUAUCUAGAUAGU